GAGUUUGAUUAUGGCUCAGGAUGAACGCUGGCGGCGUGCUUAACACAUGCAAGUCGAACGAGAAAUGAUAUUACGAUCUCUUCGGAGUGACGAUUUUAUUUCGAGUGGCGGACGGGUGAGUAACGCGUGAGCAACCUGCCCUAUACCGGGGGAUACCAGUUGGAAACGACUGUUAAUACCGCAUAAGCGCACGAUAAGACAUCUUGUUGUGUGAAAAACUCCGGUGGUAUAGGAUGGGCUCGCGUAUGAUUAGCCAGUUGGCGGGGUAAAGGCCCACCAAAGCGACGAUCAUUAGCCGACCUGAGAGGGCGACCGGCCACAUUGGGACUGAGACACGGCCCAAACUCCUACGGGAGGCAGCAGUGGGGAAUAUUGCACAAUGGGCGAAAGCCUGAUGCAGCGACGCCGCGUGAGUGAGGAAGUAUUUCGGUAUGUAAAGCUCUAUCAGCA
RNAcentral lists this ribosomal RNA (450 nucleotides) under Shuttleworthella satelles. RNAcentral's name for it is "bacterial SSU rRNA". It matches the Rfam family "Bacterial small subunit ribosomal RNA", at positions 9 to 441 of the family's 1533-position model. The record is from RNAcentral. Lineage: Bacteria; Bacillati; Bacillota; Clostridia; Lachnospirales; Lachnospiraceae.